Molecule: long non-coding RNA, 345 nt
Organism: Notothenia coriiceps (black rockcod)
Lineage: Eukaryota; Metazoa; Chordata; Actinopteri; Perciformes; Nototheniidae
Exons: 3
Source: RefSeq, a predicted model, not a curated record
UUUGUCAGAGAGAAGAGGAACCGAGAAGAGGAGAGAGGAGCUCCAUUUCGUCCUGUUUUAGUUCACAAACAGUGUGUAACUCUUGUUCAAUACAACGCUUAUAAUCGUCUGGAUAAACUGUCCAAAAUGGAUCCAUUUACUGAGAAACUGUUGGAGCGGACCCGGGCACGCAGAGAGAACCUGCAGAAGAAGAUGGCCGACAGACCGAACGCAGCGAGCAGAGCGAUGGUGAAGAGACCGCUGGCCGACACCAACAGUGUGAUCAGCGAGACGCUCAGCGAGAAAGUUCCACAGCUUUCCUCCAAGCCUUCCCCCUCCAAGCGCCGCUGCUCGGAGGAAAAUGUA